ACGGGAAGAGCCCAAACCAACAAGCUUGCUUGUUGGGGUUGUAGGACACUCUAUACGGAGUUACAAAGGACGACAUUAGACGAAUCAUCUGGAAAGAUGAAUCAAAGAAGGUAAUAAUCCUGUAGUCGAAAAUGUUGUCUCUCUUGAGUGGAUCCUGAGUACGACGGAGCACGUGAAAUUCCGUCGGAAUCUGGGAGGACCAUCUCCUAAGGCUAAAUACUCUCUAGUGACCGAUAGUGAACCAGUACCGUGAGGGAAAGGUGAAAAGCACCCCGGAAGGGGAGUGAAAUAGAACCUGAAACCGUGUGCUUACAAGUAGUCAGAGCCCGUUAAUGGGUGAUGGCGUGCCUUUUGUAGAAUGAACCGGCGAGUUACGAUUUGAUGCAAGGUUAAGCAGUAAAUGUGGAGCCGUAGCGAAAGCGAGUCUGAAUAGGGCGUUUAGUAUUUGGUCGUAGACCCGAAACCAGGUGAUCUACCCUUGGUCAGGUUGAAGUUCAGGUAACACUGAAUGGAGGACCGAACCGACUUACGUUGAAAAGUGAGCGGAUGAACUGAGGGUAGCGGAGAAAUUCCAAUCGAACCUGGAGAUAGCUGGUUCUCUCCGAAAUAGCUUUAGGGCUAGCCUCAAGUGAUGAUUAUUGGAGGUAGAGCACUGUUUGGACGAGGGGCCCCUCUCGGGUUACCGAAUUCAGACAAACUCCGAAUGCCAAUUAAUUUAACUUGGGAGUCAGAACAUGGGUGAUAAGGUCCGUGUUCGAAAGGGAAACAGCCCAGACCACCAGCUAAGGUCCCAAAAUAUAUGUUAAGUGGAAA
RNAcentral lists this ribosomal RNA (813 nucleotides) under Staphylococcus aureus. Its description in RNAcentral is "partial 23S ribosomal RNA". It matches the Rfam family "Bacterial large subunit ribosomal RNA", at positions 258 to 1069 of the family's 2925-position model. Lineage: Bacteria; Bacillati; Bacillota; Bacilli; Caryophanales; Staphylococcaceae. The record is from RNAcentral.